AAAAAGAAAUCAGUCAGACUCGUCUGAAUUUCUGAAUUAUUCAGAGUUUCAUCCAUUCCACUAUUCGCUAGUGCUAAUCUACGCUGUGAUAGGGAGGAGGAGGAGGAAGGGAUCGAGCAGGUUGGUUAGGUUUUACCAGGAGGGGACGAGGUUGGCGGCGAUGAAGAGGAGGUAGCCGGAGGUGCCGAGCACGAGCGCGCGCCUGGACCCCAUCCGCCGCACCACCGGCGAGCCCACCACCGAGAACGCCGUGAACGACGUGUACAGGAGCCCCAGCGACACCGACCCCAGGUUCUGGGCGGCGUGGUAGGCGAGGAAGACGAAGAGGAAGGCCGAGCUCAGCAGGUGCAGGUCGCGGGUCUGGGACGUCGCCGCCCUCGCCGCCGCCGCGGCGCCGCGUCUGCCGGAUACCAGCGGGGCGGCCUCCUCCUCCUCCUCGUCGAGGGCCACCGCGAGCUCGGCUCCGGCGGGAGCGUGGCCGUCUUCCAUGGCGGAUUUGGGGGGAGGAGUUGGUGGUGGCGUGGCUUCGGUGCCAAACUGCGCGAGCACUCUGCUCUGCUUGUGAUUUGGGGGAAGGGGGGAGGGGCUUGUUUUUCUAAAUUUAAGGUCUACGAGGGGUGUUUGUGAUAAAUUAAGUGGUUUCAGGAGAAUAGCAGAUAGUUUAGGGGGUCUUUGUGAGAAUUUUAGCUGUUUCGUGUCCGAAGAAGUCCGAACCGCCCGAUGACAGGCGUUUGUUUGUUUUAAGAAGAGAUAGUAGCUUUUACAGGGUGUGGUUAGUUUCUGAAAAAAGUUGAAAGUUUGAAG
This 804-nucleotide small RNA is filed under the name Oryza sativa Japonica Group (Japanese rice). Its description in RNAcentral is "sRNA Os12g0567100". Lineage: Eukaryota; Viridiplantae; Streptophyta; Magnoliopsida; Poales; Poaceae. The record is from RNAcentral.